This is a long non-coding RNA of Cyprinus carpio (common carp), 1418 nucleotides long. The record is from Ensembl. Lineage: Eukaryota; Metazoa; Chordata; Actinopteri; Cypriniformes; Cyprinidae.
ACUACCUGUCAAAAGUUUGGAAUAAUUAUGUUUUUAAAGUCUCUUAUACUCAAAAACCUGCAUUUAUGUAAUUAAAGAGAUACUCCACCCCAAAAUGAAAAUUUUGUCAUUAAUCACUUACCCCCAUGUCGUUCCAAACCCGUAAAAUCUCUGUUCGUCUUAGAAACACAAUUUAAGAUAUUUUGGAUGAAAACUGGGAGGCCUGCCAUCAGACGUGCAAUCUGGUACCCAGGUUGCACGUCUGAUGGCAGAUGGAGUAUUCUGAUGACGACUUUCAUAUCUUUUAUGGACCUUGACACUGCUAUUUAUUUGGCAGUCUUUGGGCCAGUCACAGGCCUCCCGGUUUUCAUCUAAAAUAUCUUAAAUUGUGUUCCGAAGACGAACGAAUCUUUUGCGGUUUUGGAACGACAUGGGGGUAAGUGAUUAAUGACAAAAUUUUCAUUUUGGGGUGGAGUAUCCCUUUAAGCAGCAAAAUAAAUAAUAAUUCAACAUUGCAAAUAAUAGAUGCACAAAGUCAUCAUAUAUAUAAUUUUUUCUUUCUUUGAUGGAUCGUGUGACACUGAGGACUGAAGUAAUGGCAGUUAAAAUUUCAGCUUUGCAUAAAAGUAAUAAAUUACAUAUUAUAAUAUAUUCAAAUAAAAAAUUUUUUUUUAAUUGUAAUAAUAUUUCACAAUAUUUAUGUUUUUACUGUAUUUUUGAUCAAAUAAAUACAGCCUUGAUGGGCAUAAAAGACUUGUUUCAAAAACAUAAAAAAAUAUAACACCUAGUCCUAUUAUGCAAACAAAUUGUUUGACCACUAGUGUGUAUAUAAAUGAUGUAACCUGAUUAUAUAACAGUAUAUUUGAUCUAACAUGUUCUUUGUUUUGGUCUAGUCAUUAUGGAUAUCUCAGUCCAUGGGUACAGAGCUCCUGGUGGAUUGUGGCUCAGCUGCAGUUACAUCAUUUUCCACACCCGAGCUUGUCGCUCAGGAGAGCAUUCUCACUCCACUUUCAUCUGAGAACGGGACAUCUGUGGCUUUGGCCCAAGUGCAGCUGCCUCAUGUGCUGUUUAUAGAGCUGAAGGAAAUAGAGAAUCUCAGUUCACACAUGCAGUAUAAGGCCUUAAUCGUGUUGAAUCAUGUGAUAAGUGUAGACUUUGUGUAAAAGCAUAAAUUGCUGCGUCUGUUUGCUCACUAAACAACAGCAGAUGUGUGUGUAUUCUUGGAACAAGAGGUUUUUGCAACCUUUUUCUCUCUGCUUAUUUCAUGUAUUACAAAAAGUCUUGCAUUUGCUUAUCAAAUGAGUAGUCCAAAGUAAGUGAAACAGACAUGCAAUAAUAUGACUGACCAUGCAGCCUGUCUCUCAGAUGCUUUGUAUUUUAUGGCUGAUGUCUAUAGCUGUUUAAUAGAGAUAACAUUAUGUAAAAAUAUAGUGUUUAAA